GGCAAAUUUGCUAAGCACACUACAAAGUGGCUUUAAAAAGCUGUCUCUGAAAAGCAAUGAGAAGCUGCAAAGCUCUUAAAAAGUCUCUGAAUUUGGGAUAUGUAAUCCCAAUUCAGUAGCUAUAAACUAAGCAGCCAUGACUAUCCCCAAACAUUUCGUCUAGUCCGUCCCACUCAAAGUAGGUCCACGCACAACAGCAACAUGGGAGCUUUUCAGAAAUGGAGCUGCUCAGCCCCUCCCUCCAUUUAUCCAAUUAGAACCUGUGCUUCACCACUCCCCAGGUGAUUUCCAUGAACGUUCAAAUUUGAAAAGCGUUGGCCCAGGUAGCAUCCUUAAUGACUUGGUGGCAUCCUUGAUGACUUGGAAGAAAUAUUUCACAAAAUAUUCGUCAUGGCCGCUUGUAUUUGAAUCUUGCCUCCAUCCACCAAAAGACAAUGUCAUACUUGGUUAAGCUCUCGAGGGAGGAUCAUGGAGACAGCAGGAAGGAGCCAACAAACACUCAGCUGGUCUUGAGGGCAGUGGCCAGCAGAAGUCCAGGACUGUGUAGAAUAUCAGUGGGCUUUGGGGCGCCUGGGUGGCUCAGUCGGUUAAGCCUCCAACUUCAGCUCAGGUCAUGAUCUCACAGUUCAUGAGUUCAAUUCCCUCCUCAGGCUCUCUGCUGUCAACACUGCUUCAGAUCCUCUGUCCCCCUCACACUCUGCCCUCCCCCACUUGUGCUGUCUCUCUCAAAAAUAAACAUUAAAAAAUAUUUUUAAAAAAAGAAUAUCAGCUUUGAAGAAGGUCCAGAAUAUUGACACUGACCCAGGAGUCCUGGCAGGGACUCAGAAGAGUAUGCAAGGUUUGAUAUCAUGUGUCUAGAAUGUUCCACUAACCUCUGGAGUCUCUGCCAAACUUAUGCCUCACAGAAAAGCAGCAUUAAGGUGUAAAGGUUCUGUUAUGGGCUGUUUGUGUCCCUCCUAAAUUCAUAUAUUGAAGCCCUAACUUCCGGUAGCAUAGUGUUAGGAGGCGGGGCCUUUAGGUAAUAAUUAGGUAUAGAUGAUGUCAUGAGGGUAGAAUCUCUAUGAUUAAACCAGUGUCUUUAGAAGGAGAGGAUGAGACUAGGGCCUUCCUCUGUCUCUCUGCCAUGGGAGGAUACAGGAAGAAUGCAGCUGUCUGCAAGACAGGGAGAGGGUUCUCAUCAGAACGAGACCAUGCUGGCAUCCUGAUCUCACACUUGCAGCCUCUAAAACUGUGAGAAAGAAAUUGCUGUUGAAAAGUAAUAAAAGCCAAAACCACCAUGAGAUACCACUCAUCAGGAUGGCUACUAUCAAAAACAAAAAAGGACAAACAAAAACCAGUGUUGGUGAGAAUGUGGAGAAAUUGGAACCUUUGGGCCCUGUUGGUAGAAAUGUAAAAUGGUGCAGCUGUUGUGGAAAAUGGUGUAGCAGUUUCUCAAAAAAUAAACAUAGAAUUACCAUA
Molecule: long non-coding RNA, 1458 nt
Organism: Panthera uncia (snow leopard)
Lineage: Eukaryota; Metazoa; Chordata; Mammalia; Carnivora; Felidae
Exons: 2
Source: RefSeq, a predicted model, not a curated record